AGGCUCGAACACCCAGGUUCCUGCGCGCCGUACGCACCCAGCUGACGACCGCUCGCUCCGUCGUUAGCC
This 69-nucleotide small RNA is filed under the name Xanthomonas sp. 3075. RNAcentral describes it as "sRNA sX9". It matches the Rfam family "Xanthomonas sRNA sX9". Lineage: Bacteria; Pseudomonadati; Pseudomonadota; Gammaproteobacteria; Lysobacterales; Lysobacteraceae. The record is from RNAcentral.